Molecule: ribosomal RNA, 172 nt
Filed under: uncultured bacterium
Lineage: Bacteria
Description: partial 16S ribosomal RNA
Rfam family: Bacterial small subunit ribosomal RNA
Source: RNAcentral
CCUACGGGAGGCAGCAGUAGGGAAUCUUGCGCAAUGGGCGAAAGCCUGACGCAGCAACGCCGCGUGAGGGAAGAAGGCUUUCGGGUUGUAAACUUCUUUUAGCAGGAAAGAACACAAUGACGGUACCUGCAGAAAAAGCACCGGCUAACUCUGUGCCAGCAGCCGCGGUAAU